CUUACGUCUGAUUAGCUCCAUGGCGGGGUAACGGCCCACCAUGGCGACCAUCAUUAKCCGGUCUGAGAGGAUGAACGGCCACAUUGGGACUGGGAUACRGCCCAUACUCCUACUGSAGGCAKCWGUGGGGAAUAUUGGGCAAUGGGGGAAACCCUGACCCAGCWACGCCKCGUGAAKGAASAAGGCCUUCGGGUUGUAAACUUCUUUUACCAGGGACGAAGAACGUGACGGUACCUGGAGAAAAAGCAACGGCUAACUACGUGCCAGCAGCCGCGGUAAUACGUAGGUUGCAAGCGUUGUCCGGAUUUACUGGGUGUAAAGGGCGUGUAGGCGGAGAUGCAAGUUGGGAGUGAAAUCCCGGGGCUCAACCCCGGAACUGCUUUCAAAACUGUAUCCCUUGAGUGUCGGAGAGGCAAGCGGAAUUCCUAGUGUAGCGGUGAAAUGCGUAGAUAUUAGGAGGAACACCAGUGGCGAAGGCGGCUUGCUGGACGAUAACUGACGCUGAGGCGCGAAAGCGUGGGGAGCAAACAGGAUUAGAUACCCUGGUAGUCCACGCUGUAAACGAUGAAUACUAGGUGUGGGAGGACUGACCCCUUCCGUGCCGCAGUUAACACAAUAAGUAUUCCACCUGGGGAGUACGACCGCAAGGUUGAAACUCAAAGGAAUUGACGGGGGCCCGCACAAGCAGUGGAUUAUGUGGUUUAAUUCGACGCAACGCGAAGAACCUUACCAGGGUUUGACAUCCAACUAACGAAGUAGAGAUACAUUAGGUGCCCUUCGGGGAAAGUUGAGACAGGUGGUGCAUGGUUGUCGUCAGCUCGUGUCGUGAGAUGUUGGGUUAAGUCCCGCAACGAGCGCAACCCCUAUUGUUAGUUGCUACGCAAGAGCACUCUAGCGAGACUGCCGUUGACAAAACGGAGGAAGGCGGGGACGACGUCAAAUCAUCAUGCCCCUUAUAUCCUGGGCUACACACGUAAUACAAUGGUGGUUAACAGAGGGAAGCAAAACCGCGAGGUGGAGCAAAUCCCUAAAAGCCAU
Molecule: ribosomal RNA, 1038 nt
Filed under: uncultured bacterium
Lineage: Bacteria
Description: bacterial SSU rRNA
Rfam family: Bacterial small subunit ribosomal RNA
Source: RNAcentral